Molecule: small RNA, 1355 nt
Filed under: Arabidopsis thaliana (thale cress)
Lineage: Eukaryota; Viridiplantae; Streptophyta; Magnoliopsida; Brassicales; Brassicaceae
Description: ATSL040460
Source: RNAcentral
GUUUUGUUUUCUCAGUUUACAUGUGAUCGACAUGCUCAAUAAAUUAUCCCUAGACAACAAGUUCAUUAACCAAAUCUAAGUGCCACCGCAACAGAGACCCUUAAGUUAAACUAGUCUCAGACUCAAUCACCAUUGACGAGAGCUAACCUAACAGGCAUUACGAAUCAACAAGUUAAAGCCAAAACGCUCCCUACAACAAAUACCUUAGUACAGGGCCACGAAUCUCUGGAAUUAGUGGUUCGGACAUUUCAUCGAACACCUUUUGGGCGCGGAAAUGUCUAGGCUCAAAUUCCAGUUGAUCAGAAAGCAAUAGGCAUUAAGAACAACUAAUCCAGAAGGGAUCUAUAAAUCAAACUCAACCGCCUAGCAUACUGAGAAUUCUAAACUACCCUAACCCAUCCUCAGAAACCUAGUCACUACUCAUACAUCAUUGUAGAAAGCAUAAACGAUGAUAAGAAUGAAACCAUGAUAUCAGUAGAGUAAUAACAAGAUGAUAACAGGAUGAACAACAUUAAACAAAAUCAAAAGCAAAUACUGAAUAGAUUAAGAGAAAUCUGGAUUACAAAAACGUCAAGAACACAGUGUCUGCGGAAUAAAACUUUGAUUAUCGAAAAUGUAAAGUACGUGCUACUUAUAGCAAAAUAUUUCGAAACCCUAAUACUCAAAAUGACACAGUAUUGGGACGGAUUAAGAACUAUACUCGACCUAGGUGGUCGAGUGAGUGGUCGAGUGAUAAGUACGGACUCUUAUGCUCGACCUACACAUGUUUUCAAAUCUACCAAUCCCUUUAAACAUUCAUUAGUUCUGGAACGUUAAUCAAGCAAUGCAUCAUCAAUGAACUCAUUGGGCUAAGGUACAGAUCAAGAGACAAAGAUGGUCCCUUACAGGAUAGGCUUCAGUAACAGGGGAUCUCUCAAAAAAUGACUAAGCUUUAGUAGAAUGCUAAAGGUAAGUCCCAAGCUAUGCAUACAGAGAUAAGAUCCUAUCUACCCAAAGUAUAUCAAAUGAAGCUCUAAUGGUAAUCCCAUCUCCAAUCCCAAUAUAAGAACCUAACUCUACUCUUUGCAUUCAUGAAUCUUUUAAGCCCUUUUUCUAAUCAUUCUUUUCUUUUCUCUUAACUCUAGGAGAAGCUUUCUCAACAUUUUGAUACUUCUAGAAGAUUUGGGUAUCCAUGAGUUCAAAUUUGAUGCAAACAUGAUAAUUAAAGAUCAAAUUCAGGUUCAAAUUGAUAGGAAAUGGUAUCAGAUCAUGACAAUGUGGUCGAGUAGAGCAAUCUAGGCAUGGUUCCGUUUUACUUUAAUUUCAUUGACUACGCAACAGACAACUAGCAACGAGGGCACUGCGUUUAUCUAGUA